UAGAGCUGCGUUUGAGUAAACGCAGCUCCAGAUAUGUUCAAGCUGCGUUUUAGCAAACGCAGCUCUAGGCUUGCUAUAAAUUGGAAAAAACCCUAAAUUGAAAAACACAAUUGAACCCAUUUCAACCUAGCUCACUCUCAACCUAGCUCCUGAUCCCUAAUCUCGCCGUCGUGCUCUCAACCUCACGCCUCCCUCAUCAAUCGAAACAAAAAUAGGUCUGAAAUCACUGCCUGAUGAGAUGCGCGAUCUCUCGUCUUUACAAAUACUGGAGAUUAGGCGUUGUCCCGAGUUACAGAGAAGAUGCGAAAAGGAAACCGGUCAGGAUUGGGACAAGAUCGCACAUAUCACUGAGGUUUAUAUAGUGGGUGAACCUAUGGAGUGGCAAUAUGCCCCGCCUGAAUACUUUUAGGAUUUUGGAUGGUGGAGUACGAAAGGUACUUGGCUACACUCUCUAUAAUCAAAGGUUAUUGAAUAUUUUGAAUAAAAUUUCAUUCCAUAUAUUUGAUUCACACAUUAAGAAGGACCCAAAAGGAAAAAAGUAAUUAAAAUGAAAGAUGCAUAUAUCCCUAUUUCCUUCAAUAAACUUUGAAUAGCUGGAAGAGGGUUAUUCAAAUGUGAAUUCCUUUCCUCUUCUUCUUUGUUUUUCUUGUAUUAUGACGAUUUCUCACUUGGUUUGAUCCUAGAUGCAGAACAAAUUGGAAGCACAAAACAAGACUAGGCGUAAAUAUCUGAGCCUAUUCAAAACCUUUAUAAAGAACAUUUUUUCUUUAUUAUGAUCUUAUUUUCUACCAUAGGUUAAUGGUCUACAGCUUAACAUCAAAUUUUUUUCUGUGGCUGGAAGCAUACACAGUGUUAGUGGAAUUUCUUUGUACAUUGUGUUAUGUUCCCAUUGCUUGCUGUUACAAACUUGGGAAAAAUAUUUUUUUGGCCAUUUUGUCUCA
Quercus lobata is the source of this 941-nucleotide long non-coding RNA. RefSeq lists it as uncharacterized. The transcript has 3 exons. NCBI's taxonomy places the organism in Eukaryota, Viridiplantae, Streptophyta, Magnoliopsida, Fagales, Fagaceae. The record is from RefSeq and is a predicted model, not a curated record.